GGCCCCGUGGUGCAACGGUUAGCACAUCGGCCCUUCAAGCCGGUAAUACGGGUUCGAUUCCCGUCGGGGCUACCA
RNAcentral lists this transfer RNA (75 nucleotides) under Acidobacteriota bacterium. RNAcentral's name for it is "Acidobacteria bacterium tRNA-Glu". It matches the Rfam family "tRNA". From Rfam's summary of the family: Transfer RNA (tRNA) molecules are approximately 80 nucleotides in length. Their secondary structure includes four short double-helical elements and three loops (D, anti-codon, and T loops). The record is from RNAcentral. Lineage: Bacteria; Pseudomonadati; Acidobacteriota. RNAcentral also lists the same sequence under 3 other names.